AUUGAACGCUGGCGGCAGGCUUAACACAUGCAAGUCGAGCGGGGGAAGGUAGCUUGCUACCGGACCUAGCGGCGGACGGGUGAGUAAUGCUUAGGAAUCUGCCUAUUAGUGGGGGACAACAUCUCGAAAGGGAUGCUAAUACCGCAUACGUCCUACGGGAGAAAGCAGGGGAUCUUCGGACCUUGCGCUAAUAGAUGAGCCUAAGUCGGAUUAGCUAGUUGGUGGGGUAAAGGCCUACCAAGGCGACGAUCUGUAGCGGGUCUGAGAGGAUGAUCCGCCACACUGGGACUGAGACACGGCCCAGACUCCUACGGGAGGCAGCAGUGGGGAAUAUUGGACAAUGGGGGGAACCCUGAUCCAGCCAUGCCGCGUGUGUGAAGAAGGCCUUAUGGUUGUAAAGCACUUUAAGCGAGGAGGAGGCUACUUUAGAUAAUACCUAGAGAUAGUGGACGUUACUCGCAGAAUAAGCACCGGCUAACUCUGUGCCAGCAGCCGCGGUAAUACAGAGGGUGCAAGCGUUAAUCGGAUUUACUGGGCGUAAAGCGCGCGUAGGCGGCUAAUUAAGUCAAAUGUGAAAUCCCCGAGCUUAACUUGGGAAUUGCAUUCGAUACUGGUUAGCUAGAGUGUGGGAGAGGAUGGUAGAAUUCCAGGUGUAGCGGUGAAAUGCGUAGAGAUCUGGAGGAAUACCGAUGGCGAAGGCAGCCAUCUGGCCUAACACUGACGCUGAGGUGCGAAAGCAUGGGGAGCAAACAGGAUUAGAUACCCUGGUAGUCCAUGCCGUAAACGAUGUCUACUAGCCGUUGGGGCCUUUGAGGCUUUAGUGGCGCAGCUAACGCGAUAAGUAGACCGCCUGGGGAGUACGGUCGCAAGACUAAAACUCAAAUGAAUUGACGGGGGCCCGCACAAGCGGUGGAGCAUGUGGUUUAAUUCGAUGCAACGCGAAGAACCUUACCUGGCCUUGACAUAGUAAGAACUUUCCAGAGAUGGAUUGGUGCCUUCGGGAACUUACAUACAGGUGCUGCAUGGCUGUCGUCAGCUCGUGUCGUGAGAUGUUGGGUUAAGUCCCGCAACGAGCGCAACCCUUUUCCUUAUUUGCCAGCGAGUAAUGUCGGGAACUUUAAGGAUACUGCCAGUGACAAACUGGAGGAAGGCGGGGACGACGUCAAGUCAUCAUGGCCCUUACGGCCAGGGCUACACACGUGCUACAAUGGUCGGUACAAAGGGUUGCUACACAGCGAUGUGAUGCUAAUCUCAAAAAGCCGAUCGUAGUCCGGAUUGGAGUCUGCAACUCGACUCCAUGAAGCCGGAAUCGCUAGUAAUCGCGGAUCAGAAUGCCGCGGUGAAUACGUUCCCGGGCCU
This 1359-nucleotide ribosomal RNA is filed under the name uncultured bacterium. RNAcentral's name for it is "bacterial SSU rRNA". It matches the Rfam family "Bacterial small subunit ribosomal RNA", at positions 28 to 1381 of the family's 1533-position model. The record is from RNAcentral.